This 1265-nucleotide long non-coding RNA is filed under the name Vulpes vulpes (red fox). RNAcentral describes it as "lncRNA (ENSVVUG00000019584.1)". The record is from RNAcentral. Lineage: Eukaryota; Metazoa; Chordata; Mammalia; Carnivora; Canidae.
GGGGGGACAGGCAGACUGUUUAAAUGGUUCUCAACUCAGGCUGCACAUUAUUGAUAAUGUUAUAUCCUACCAACGAGGACCAAUCAAAUUCUGACCUCAGGGGGUGAGCUCAGGUGCUAGUAUGUUUUCCCGAAUCACAGGGAAGGGUGAGAACCACUGCGGGUCAACAGGCAGCCAGCAGCUGUUCUUGAGGAAAGUGAGCAACAGUUGUUGGCCUCUGCUUUCCCCAGGCCAUCAGGUAGAGGUGCCCGAUUCCCAUUCAGCUCAGAAUCCCUGUGUCCACAUCGCCAUGGUUUCUAGAACUAGUCUUUCACACCCUGUUCCAAUGAGCCUAGUGGUGCUGUCAGUUCACCCUCCCCUUGGGCCUGGUCUUCAAUUUCCUGAUUGCUCUUCGACUACCUUCCUGGUUUCUCAGCCUGCUGGAUCUAAUUUUAGCAACAUGAUGAAUGGCCCAGGAAUGUACUCCACUGCCCUCUGCAGAAAGGAAUAUAUAUCAGACCUGCUCAGGUGUGUGUCAUUUCUUUAUAUCGAGAGCUUUCUGCUCCCCAAGUGGCAGCCCGGGUUUUUCUGGCUGAAAGCCCCAAGUUCUGUCUCCGUUUCGGCUCGCGCAGGCACCGUUAGGAAACGACCAUGUGUGAACAAUAACCAGGUUUGCUAGCUCCAGCCAAUGAGGGAUGUGGCUCUCUUGAGCCUGGGUUUAUUGCACCAGCUAGAAAAUGACCCACUGGGGUUUUUUUCCUCCUCCAAUUCAUUUCUGAGCAGCAACUGCUUGCAGAGGACUACUCCCAAGUCCCCAACCACCAGCUCUCAUUUUUUCCCAUUUUGUCUUUAAGCAGAGAAAUUUCUUUAAAAUGCAGGAAUUAUUCCACUUUGACUAGCACGAUAAGGUAUCAGUAUCUUCUUUUUUUCUUGAGCUCCAAGGAGAAAAUGUUCAUUUUUCUUCCGUGCUACCUGUGAGUUUUCUGGCUGCUUCUGAACAUUCAUCACAGGUACCUGCACCCCACAUCUUGAUAAAACUUUAAUUUUAAAAUGAUGUUGAGGGCACCCGGGUGGCUCAGUCGGCUGGGCAUCUGCCUUCUGCUCAGGUCAUGAUCCCAGGAUCCUGCAGUGGAGACCCGAGUCAGGCUUCUUGCUUAGUGGGGAGUCUGUCUCUGUCUCUCCCUCUCCCCUUCCCCCUCCCUCUCCCCCCUGCUCAUGUGUGCUCUCUCUCUCUCUCUCGUUCUCUCUCAAAUAAAUAAGUAAAAUCUUUUAAAAAAUAAAAUGAC